UACCACUUAAAGGACAUUCAAGUAAUAAAAUAAAAUAAAAUAUUAGUAGAUAUUAGUGAUUUCAGUUAAUGACCCCUGCUAAUAAGAUUUUUGGAGCAUUAACUGUGGUGUAGUGUGUGGAUUUCCAACAGGGCACGCAUGCGAAGAGCGGUCAUAAGAUAGACAUAGAAAAGCUUAAAAGCUUAUCACCGAAUAUCAUUGAUCUGCGGUCACCUUGGAUAAGUGAACGAAACAUCACGCGAUUCUUAUCUAUGUUUUUGCAUAUCGAGAUAAGAGUGCCGUUAUGUAAAAGCUUUUUCUCUAGCAUAGUUAGGGCUAGAUUUGCAUAGGAGAGCUUUGACAUUUUUUGACGAGCUUGAAAGCAAUACGGCUGCAAUUGUAAGCCAAGUUUAAUAAAUAUUUAAAUUGUGCUGAAAAUUAAAUAAAAUCAAAUCCCAGACGAAUUAUCGGGAUUCAUUUAAUAAGUGUUUAGUUAUUUUAUGCCAGUGCCACGUGCCAGUGCGGCUAGUACCAAAUUAUCACCCUAUUAUGCAACCGGCUAUCUGGAGGCCGAAAUGGAUGAAAUAUGGGAAUUAACUAGUGCAGAGAUUCGACGCGGGAUCGCAAUCUUUUGAUAAAUAUUUUUUUGGAUUCGACGACAAGCCCCUUUUCGCUACACGGAGAGAAAACUCCAGCGAAUUAUUGAUAAAUUUGUAA
Molecule: long non-coding RNA, 696 nt
Organism: Drosophila ananassae
Lineage: Eukaryota; Metazoa; Arthropoda; Insecta; Diptera; Drosophilidae
Exons: 3
Source: RefSeq, a predicted model, not a curated record